Molecule: ribosomal RNA, 1101 nt
Filed under: Candidatus Woesebacteria bacterium GW2011_GWA1_34_41
Lineage: Bacteria; Candidatus Woeseibacteriota
Description: bacterial SSU rRNA
Rfam family: Bacterial small subunit ribosomal RNA
Source: RNAcentral
UUUGAGGAUUUGAUCCUGGUCCAGGAUGAACGCUAGCGGUGUGCUUUAAGCAUGCAAGUGGGACGAGUUGUAGCAAUACAACUAGUCGCGAACGGCUGAGUAUAAAAUAGGAAUCUACCCAAUGGUGUGGAAUACCUUAUCGAAAGAUGAGCUAAUACCACAUGACCUCGCAAGAGAAAAGGACUUAACUGUCCGCCGAUGGAUGAGCCUAUUUCCCAUCAGUUUGUUGGUAGGGUAAUGGCCUACCAAGACUAUGACGGGUAGGGGAUUUGAGAGGAUGACCCCCCAGAACAGGACUGAGACACGGCCUGUACACCUACGGGUGGCAGCAACUGGGAAUCGUGCGCAAUGGACGAAAGUCUGACGCCGCGACACCGCGUGAAGGAUGAAGGCCUUUUGGUCGUAAACUUCUUUUGCCAUAUGGGUGACCAUAUGGAGAAUAAGCACCUGCUAACUCUGUGCCAGCAGCCGCGGUAAUACAGAGGGUGCAAGCGUUAUCCGGAUUUAUUGGGCGUAGAGCGUUUCGUAGGCGGUUUGGUAAGUUAGACUUCAAAGACCACGGCUCAACCGGGGGAAGGGGUCUAAUACUGCCAGACUUGAGGGUUUUAGGGGCAAUCGGAACUGUUGGUGUAGGGGUGAAAUCCGUUGAUAUCAACAGGAACGUCAAGGGCGUAGGCAGAUUGCUGGGAAACUUCUGACGCUGAGGAACGAAAGCUAGGGGAGCGAAAGGGAUGGGGUUUAUAAACUCUAGAGAGACCCCUGUAGUCCUAGCCGUAAACUUUGCCUGCUAGCGAUCCGACUUUGGUCGGGUUGCGUAAGCUAACGCGUUAAGCGGGCCGCCUGGGGAGUACGAACGCAAGUUUAAAACUCAAAGGAAUUGACGGGAAGGCGCACAACCAGUGGAGCAUGGUAUUACAGGUGUUGCAUGGCCGUCGUCAGCUCGUGUCGUAGGUGUUCCCUUCAGUGGGGUAACGAGCGCAACCCCUGCCCUGAGUUAAAUAAUCUCAGGGGACUUCCCUCAUUUAUUGCGGGAGGAAGUGGGGACGACGUCAGGUCAGCAUGGCCCUUAUGACUGGGGCAACACACAUACUACAAUGGAGC